RNAcentral lists this ribosomal RNA (253 nucleotides) under uncultured bacterium. RNAcentral describes it as "partial 16S ribosomal RNA". It matches the Rfam family "Bacterial small subunit ribosomal RNA", at positions 524 to 776 of the family's 1533-position model. The record is from RNAcentral.
GACAGAGGGGGCAAGCGUUGCUCGGAAUCACUGGGCGUAAAGGGCGCGUAGGCGGGAUGGCAAGUCGGUCGUGAAAUCCUUCGGCUCAACCGAAGAACGUCGGCCGAUACUGCCGUUCUUGAGGGAUGCAGAGGAGAUUGGAAUUCCCGGUGUAGCGGUGAAAUGUGUAGAGAUCGGGAGGAACACCGGUGGCGAAGGCGGGUCUCUGGGCCGAAAUUGACGCUGAGGAGCGAAAGCGUGGGGAGCAAACAGG